This 82-nucleotide small RNA is filed under the name Martelella mediterranea. RNAcentral describes it as "suhB". The stretch from base 1 to 73 matches the Rfam family "Alphaproteobacterial ar15", at positions 44 to 112 of the family's 112-position model. Lineage: Bacteria; Pseudomonadati; Pseudomonadota; Alphaproteobacteria; Hyphomicrobiales; Aurantimonadaceae. The record is from RNAcentral.
AGCUGUUCCCCUCUGGAGGUUUUGAGAAGCCUUCUAACUUUAAAGGGCCCCGAUUUUUCGGUGGCCCUCUUUUUUUAUCCCG